RNAcentral lists this ribosomal RNA (361 nucleotides) under uncultured Klebsiella sp. RNAcentral describes it as "bacterial SSU rRNA". It matches the Rfam family "Bacterial small subunit ribosomal RNA", at positions 505 to 865 of the family's 1533-position model. Lineage: Bacteria; Pseudomonadati; Pseudomonadota; Gammaproteobacteria; Enterobacterales; Enterobacteriaceae. The record is from RNAcentral.
GUGCCAGCCGCCGCGGUAAUACGGAGGGUGCAAGCGUUAAUCGGAAUUACUGGGCGUAAAGCGCACGCAGGCGGUCUGUCAAGUCGGAUGUGAAAUCCCCGGGCUCAACCUGGGAACUGCAUUCGAAACUGGCAGGCUAGAGUCUUGUAGAGGGGGGUAGAAUUCCAGGUGUAGCGGUGAAAUGCGUAGAGAUCUGGAGGAAUACCGGUGGCGAAGGCGGCCCCCUGGACAAAGACUGACGCUCAGGUGCGAAAGCGUGGGGAGCAAACAGGAUUAGAUACCCUGGUAGUCCACGCCGUAAACGAUGUCGAUUUGGAGGUUGUGCCCUUGAGGCGUGGCUUCCGGAGCUAACGCGUUAAAU